UACGAAGGGGGCUAGCGUUGCUCGGAAUUACUGGGCGUAAAGCGCACGUAGGCGGCUUUCUAAGUCGGGGGUGAAUCCUGGAGCUCAACUCCAGAACUGCCUUCGAUACUGGAGAGCUCGAGUCCGGGAGAGGUGAGUGGAACUGCGAGUGUAGAGGUGAAAUUCGUAGAUAUUCGCAAGAACACCAGUGGCGAAGGCGGCUCACUGGCCCGGUACUGACGCUGAGGUGCGAAAGCGUGGGGAGCAAACAGGG
Molecule: ribosomal RNA, 253 nt
Filed under: uncultured bacterium
Lineage: Bacteria
Description: partial 16S ribosomal RNA
Rfam family: Bacterial small subunit ribosomal RNA
Source: RNAcentral